This 478-nucleotide ribosomal RNA is filed under the name uncultured bacterium. RNAcentral's name for it is "partial 16S ribosomal RNA". It matches the Rfam family "Bacterial small subunit ribosomal RNA", at positions 28 to 523 of the family's 1533-position model. The record is from RNAcentral.
GACGAACGCUGGCGGCGUGCUUAACACAUGCAAGUCGAACGGUAAGGCCCUUCGGGGUACACGAGUGGCGAACGGGUGAGUAACACGUUGGUGAUCUGCCCUGCACUUCGGGAUAAGCCUUGGCAACUGGGUAUAAUACCGGAUAGGACCACUGCCUGCAUGGGUGGUGGUGGAAAGCUUUUGCGGUGUGGGAUGGGCCCGCGGGCUAUCAGCUUGUUGGUGGGGUGAUGGCCUACCAAGGCGACGACGGGUAGCCGGCCUGAGAGGGUGACCGGCCACACUGGGACUGAGAUACGGCCCAGACUCCUACGGGAGGCAGCAGUGGGGAAUAUUGCACAAUGGGCGCAAGCCUGAUGCAGCGACGCCGCGUGAGGGAUGACGGCCUUCGGGUUGUAAACCUCUUUCAGCACCGACGAAGCGCAAGUGACGGUAGGUGCAGAAGAAGGACCGGCCAACUACGUGCCAGCCGCCGCCGUAA